This 195-nucleotide ribosomal RNA is filed under the name Triticum aestivum (bread wheat). Its description in RNAcentral is "partial small subunit ribosomal RNA". The record is from RNAcentral. Lineage: Eukaryota; Viridiplantae; Streptophyta; Magnoliopsida; Poales; Poaceae.
GUGAAUGAUGGAAACGAAUGUGCUUUCUUAACUCACAUGGGCAAAGAUUCCAACGCUCAUAACUUUUCUCAGCGGUGUCAUGAUAAUCUGAAAAAUAGUUUGACUCACAUCGACAAGGCAAUGGUGAAAGUGUGUGCAAAAAAGGUCGCAGAUGCAAGGCUAAGGCUUAAAGUUACAAUUGAUUGCAUCAAGUAA